This 217-nucleotide long non-coding RNA is filed under the name Sorghum bicolor (sorghum). RNAcentral's name for it is "long non-coding RNA (SBIC_LNC005121)". The record is from RNAcentral. Lineage: Eukaryota; Viridiplantae; Streptophyta; Magnoliopsida; Poales; Poaceae.
AGGCCAUACGUGAAGGGAAGGGAGUUUUUUUUAAUUUUCUUUUCACUUUAAAGCCAUUUUCAAAUUCAUUUAAAAUCUAUUUGAAAUAUUUUUGGACUUCGAUCAAAUCACUCAGUAUGAUAAAAUAAAUUCUCUAGUAUGAAUGCGCAAACAAGUUGCUAAGUCCUAUGAUAAUUUUAUUUUUUAAAAAAAAUAUAUUAUUUUUCUAUGUUUCAUG